This 515-nucleotide long non-coding RNA is filed under the name Mytilus galloprovincialis (Mediterranean mussel). Lineage: Eukaryota; Metazoa; Mollusca; Bivalvia; Mytilida; Mytilidae. The record is from RNAcentral.
CACCUGCUGGCCAAAUUGCGUAAUAGCCGCAAAGGACUGCAUCAUACAAAACUGCCCAACUGUUUCCCUCAUGCAAUGUUAAAAAUUUUCAAGCCAUGAUUUGAAAUAAGGUUAUUGGCUUCUUUAUUGUAUUACUACAUAAGAUGUGGCGCGGCAUUUACUACUGUAAUUUACCCUUAUAUAAAUACUUCAACUUUCUGACUUUCAGAUAUUAUGGGGAGAGUCAUUAACAUCUCACAAGGCAUGUUUCACGGUCAUCCCACAACAUUUUUGCACCAAGUCAGGAACUUCUGGUCUUUCCAAGUCUAGUGUGGUUGUUUUUUUUUUUUAUAUUUGUAAAUUGUUCAUUUGAAUGAUGGAGUUUAGCAUGGCAUCCAUUUCAUAACAGCAAGUAUAUGCAAAAAUUGUUUAUUGGCUAGUUGAAGGCUGUCUCUCUGUGCUGCAUAGGAUUUCUUUUGCUCAAAUUUUCAUUGCUUUAAGAUAAUAUUUUUUUUAAUAGAAGUGUAAUUUCAAGC